This is a long non-coding RNA of Parus major (Great Tit), 8844 nucleotides long. RefSeq lists it as uncharacterized. The record is from RefSeq and is a predicted model, not a curated record. The transcript is spliced from 4 exons. NCBI's taxonomy places the organism in Eukaryota, Metazoa, Chordata, Aves, Passeriformes, Paridae.
CAGUAUCAGCUUUAUUCUUAAUUUUAUAUUCAUCUGCUGGUCCUCACAGCAAAUACUCUGGCCUGUGUUUUCAAAAAUCCCACAUCUGUGGCAGAUUGGCACUAGGGGGGUGUGGGGACUUUGGGGUCCAAGGUGUUUGUCUGUCCUGGCAGUCAGUCCUGCCUCCAGCACAGCAGUGGGGGCUUGUGCCUGCUGAGGUGCUCUGUGACACCUGAGCAGCAAUUUUCUAACCUUCCCCCUUAGAUGAAGCCAGGAGCCACCUUCAUGCUUUAGUUUCAGAUCACAGCUGACAAAGCAGUUUCUCUUUUAUGUAUUUUUCUAGUUUAGUUUUUCAGACGAUUUUUAAAAAUUGAAAUUUAUAGUUGAGCUUAUCUUUGAAAAAACUGCUUGGAAUUCUUCAUAGCAGUCAAGUUGUUUUCCAGCAUUUCUUUAACUAUUUUUAAAUUGAUUUGUCUCGCUAGUAAAUAUCAGUGAUUUAAGAUUUAUGAUUUUUUUUUCUUCAUUUAAAUGUUUCUCCUAGGAUUAAGCUUGAGAUAAAUUUUUUCAUGUUGCUGCCCACUACUUGCAUUCAUGGGUAAAUUAAACUGUCUGGUUCCUUGUCACUGAUUUUUCAAAUGCUAGUAAUUAAAAUGGGAGAAGUAUUUUUAAUGCCAAAGAUUAAACAGAUGUUGGUGGAUAUAUUAGGUUUUGACAAAAGUUUGGCAGGUAAAAUAUAAAGUAAGAAUAGCAUUCCUAUAUUAUUUAUUUUUAAUUUUAGCUUUACUGGCCUUUCAAGUGUGCUCAAAAGCGAGAUGGAUUAUUAAAAUGUUUGCCACAGUCUAUUCUCAUACAUCCCUAAAACAGGAACAUGUGAGAUGAGGAACUCAUCAUCUGGAGAGAUGUGUGUAAUGGCUGAUAUCAAACACUGCUCACCCAUCCUCAGUGAUCACAACCCCCUGAGAGCUCUCCCCAGUUCAUUAUAUCAGCUGAAAUUAUUCUCUUCCUGCUAUGAUCCGCCUGCUUUGGUAUUUUGUCUCUCCUGACCCUGAAGCUCAUUCCUUACGCUGAUUAAUGUCUUCAUAUGGUCCUGAAACUCACUGCCCUGCAUGUCUGCCCCUGUUUCUCUUAUGCUGUUACCUUGUGAGUGAUUUCUCAUAAUUACAGCACAUUUUUGUGAAGACACAUUGCCUGGUCUGUCCUGCCAGACACAGUCCUCAGAGUCUCAGUAGCUGGAGGGCAGCCAGGCAAUAUUUUGCAGCUGCUUUUGAAAAUCCCAGUGGCUCAGACCUCAGUGAUGUUGGACUCAGACAUAACCAGAUGUCGAGAAUUCUUACCAGGCACAUCCUGAGCUUCAAAAUGUUCACAAAUUCUUGUGAAUAAUGGUGCAUCCUAUCUAAAGGGUUCUGCUUUAAUAUCUGUUCUAUCUCCAGUUCAUACUCCCUAUCCCAUACAAGUUUAGAAGGAAAAAAAUUCUGCAAACCAUCUUGUACUCAACUAAAUACAGGCCAAGUCUCAUCCUGGUAUAAGAAUGUUGCUAAAUAAAAGCUGGUUUAAUGUAUAUUUCUAGCUGUUUGAGGUAUUGUCCACAUACUGAAAUGUUUGCUCUUUCCAUACCCUGCUGUAUCAACUGCCAUACAAGGACCAGCAAAUUGCUGAUCUAAUUCCAUGAAAUAUCAUGUGGUGGCUUCUCCACCCUUGGGGAAUUCUCCUAGAAAGUCAAAGCUCAGCUGGAAACUAUUUUUUGCUGUUGGAAGAGUUGAAAGAAGCUGCCUCCCACCAGCGAGUCAAGCCCGUUGUGCCUGACAGAUGUUUGCAGUCCUGCCUGAGAGCUGCAGGAGCUCACAUCAGAGCCUUCUCCUGACAAAGCACAUCUGAGUGGGCUCCUUUGCUUCGUGUCAUUUGCUUUUCCACCCAAUUUAGCUCAUGUGCCGUGCUCUGUGCAGGGACACCCUCCAGCCAGCACCCAAAGCUCUGGGGGAUCUCAGACAAGGGUGCACAGGUCUCCUCUCAGGAGCUCUCUAAUCUCAGUUCUGUGAAUGAGACAAUUCCUGUUCUCAGUGUCUGGUCUAGGGGAAGUAGCAGGUUCCUGAGUUGGAAGUAAACCUGAGAGGUGAACCUAUCCUCCAUUGGAGCCUGUGGGAUUUUCCCCACUGCAAUGAAAACAAUUGAAAAGGGCAUUGUAAGGCACACUCUGCUGUAAAAAUCAUUUCCUUGCUGUUCUCUCGGAUUUGUACUGCUCAUUGGUGAUUAAAAUUGCCCUACUGGCACUCACAUCCUGUCUUUCAUUAAGUGUUCCACUGGCUUGCUGAGCAUUGCAGAAGAGAUACAGGAUUGCCUCAGGUUAAGCAUGAAUUUUCUUUUUCAGUACUGUGCCAAGUUUUUGCUCUUUGAAGAUAUCAUUAAGAACACCUCAAAGUUCCUCUGCCUCAAACAAUGUUGUUUUCAGGAAUUGCUUGAAGGUAAGCAGUAAUGUAACUUUGUGUUAUAAGGUGAAUAACUAAGAAAUGAGAAAAGAGAUGAAUUAAUGUGCUGUCCAUGAAAUUAACAUUCUGAUAAUUGUUUGGUUUGUAAUUAUAUUGAAUUUAAUCUGACAAUAAUACUAAGAAACUGUGGGUUUUAAAACCAUCCUUUGUUUGGGAGAAAACUCUAAUUUGUUUAAAACAAUUCAUUUGCAUCUAUGUUUUUUCUAAGAUUUGUGUUGUUUUUUUUAAAUUUUGCUAAACCUUGAAUGAGGUGUUUAUACAACCAGAUCCAUUAAGCCAGAGGAUAAUUCCAUUUCAAGAGGAAGAAUGAAGGACAAAAUUGAAUGUGCACUGUUCCUAAGUUAAUGGGUGCACAAGGUACCCAAGUGCUUUGUUGUUGUUGUCUCAUCAACACGUGAGCUGCUCAGAAUUCUUUGGAAUGUACAUCACUUCUGAGGUGUGAAAGGUGAUAACCGAUCUCCGUAUUUUACUACUGAUGGACCUCUCAAAUGAAAUGCAUGUGCUGACAUCUCCAUGCUUUGGAGAUUUAAAGACCUCAAAUACUGAGAAAAAAUGACUGACCUUGAAACUCCUAUCCCAAAAUUCCCUUUUUUUAGCACUAUUGCUUUGCUGAAUAUAUUAACUUGUGGAAAAUCCCAUAAAGGAAGAUAAUAUUUCUUGUGUUAUUAUAAAGCUAAGUCUCAUGCCAGAUAAUUCCAGUGAAACAUGUUAUUGAAGUGACUCCUGUGUUCCAAGGAACAAUUUCUAAUGAAUGUGAAGGAGGAAAACUUCAGUCUUAAUGUUAUAUAUUUUUCAUCUAUCAGAAAUAUUUCUGAUUCUCAGCUGUUGCUGAAAUCAAGAUUCUGACCAACUUUCAUUGCAAUUUAUGGUAUUUAGGAAAAGAAAUACUUUUAGCAAUUUGACAAGUAUAAUUUUCCCUAGGAUGUUUUACAGUCAUCAGAAUGUCAGGAAUUUGUUGAAUUAAAUAAAUGCAAUCACACACUAAACUUUUCUCUGGUGAUUUAAUAAAACAGCUUUGUAGAGUUUUGCUCUCCUUCUCUUAUUUUUGUGCAAGUGCUGACAAGAGAUACUGAGGGAUUCCAACAGCAGGGGUCUAGAGGAACAUGAGAUUAGUCUAAUUAAGAUUUCAGAAGAUUGUCCUCCAUGGUUUACAUAGUUACAUCUAUUUUUCCACUACUGCAUGUUGGUUAUUUGUGUGAAGGGAAACAUUCCAGUAGAAUAUACACAAGUCUGGACCAAAAUAUUCUCACUAUAGCAAGGGAGGCUCUUAAAGCUCUUGUUCCUCUUUAGACCAAAUCUAACUUGGACUUGGUCCUGAAAUUAGUAUUGUCAUAAGGAUAUCUAGAAAAUCAACAAAAUUGUUGAGAUUUUCCUUUCAAAAUUGAUAGACUGCAAACAAAUCUUGAUCAGCUUUACAUGCUAGUCAGAACAAAACAAGGGCAAGUAGAAAAAGAGCAGAGUUUUUUGUUGCUUGCAUUUAAUGUUUUCUAUGUAAGAUGCUGCUAACAAAGCAAACUAAUAUAUUUGAUAACAUAUAAUCUGAAAAGGUAGAUGGAUUUGCCUGGAAAGAGGGGCUGUAAUCUUCAGGAGUCACUAGUCCUGGAAGCAAAGACUUCAAUAAUUUUAUUACUGGAUGCUCUUCCCCAUUGGUAAAAUGAGGGAAAUUAUAAUUUUCAGAACAAAUCCACAAUUUAAAACUGAAACUACACUUUUUCUACUGAAAAAAAUCACAGAUUUUCAUAAAGAGUUCAGUGGUGCUUAAAUUCAAAUGGUUAUAUCCAUAAACAUUAAGGUGAUACUGUGUGGUUAUAGAAAGAUGAGUCGAUCCACUCAGUGGGAAACACAAUGGGAAAAUUCUCUAAUACUUUAGGGUGAAUUGUAGGUGUUUUUUGCUAGCCCUGUAAAGUGUGAUCUCUCUCUCUAUAUAUGAAUACAUAUUAUGUAUAAAAUGUCAUUUUUUCUGUAUGUAGUUUGCUUUUGGUAAAGGCUUUUUUCCCACUAAUUGCAUUUUGAAUCAUUUGUUUUCUAGAAUUUCCUAAAAAUUAUCUGAUUUUUGGUAGUUGUUGUUUACAACCAUGAUAAAAGUAUUUAAAAGUGACAUUAAGCAGAACAGAUCUCACUGGAUUUUGUUACAUUGUUCAAAAAAGCCUUACUGUAAUUCUGGCCUCUUGUGUAGUGGAUGUGUGACAUAGCAAGACAAAAACCCACCAAUUUUUUCUUAAAUAAAGAAUCCUGUUGCAUGAUGCAGGAAUGAGUGUGAUGGAUAACAGCCAACACUGUUUGAACAAUGAAGCUUUUUAUAUUGUACAAUUUAUGGUUCUGUUGAUCCAGUUCAUUGCAGCUUUUUUUCCCAUACAAAACUAACUUUUGGGUUCAAAUGUUCACCCUGAUGUCAAGGUCUGAUAUUUUUAUUUCUCCUUUUCUCCUAAUUUUAUUGAUUUUUCUAGGCUAAGCAUUCCAUAAAUUAGUUAUAGUAAGAAGGCAUAUUGUGGAAUGUGAUAUAAUUGGCAACUGAUUGUUGAUGUAGGAGAUUUAUGUCAGCCUUAUAGUAAUAGUUCCUUAUAAUUGGAAACAUAUGUGAUUUUUAGUGUCUAGACUUGGGACCUUUCCCAGGAAGGAGUUCCAGGUGGUUAUCUAAGCAUAAUAGGCCAAAUGGCUACUUAAAGGCUGCAGGCAGACAUGAGAAAUAUAUAAAUGUUUCUAGCAAAUGUAAUUAUUUCUUAAUUUGACAUUUAUAAAUUGCCCUAUAUCAAUUUACAUCUGAUGGUUUGACCAGCUGAUUUGUUUUGUAAAUUCAUGUUAAAACCUGAAAUUUGCUUUCUGACUGAAAUAGAGUAAAAUAUACUUCAUAAGUUCUUGAUAUACCUGGGUGACAAAAAGCUUUUAUCUAUAUCUUGUGCCUAAUUUAGUUGCAUUGAUGUAUGAAUGUUUAACUUGAAUAGCAAAUAGUAACAUUUAAUAGAAUGAAUCCUGUGACAUUUGGUUUGGUAUAGUUAAGUUACCUGGAGCUUUGAGCUUUGUCUUUGUUUGCUAGUAGUCUGAUUUCUGGAAGGACCUCAGAAAGGAAACAUGUCUGGAAGUUGUAGAGCCUACUAAAACAUGUGGUGAUUUGAUAUUUCCUUGAUCCCAGUUUGCCUUGAACAUGCCUUGCACGUUAAAACAUCCCUGGAGAAGGAAAGCACAGUUGGCUAUCCCAGCAUGAAUACUCUGCAAAUAUUGUUCUGGGACCUGCACUGCCUGUGACUCACAAUGAAUAUUUUCAGCUCUGGUUCUGACUGUACAAUAGGAAAUGGAAAAGAAAAUAAGUGACUUGCUAGGGCCUAACACUGGAUGACUUGAUCAAUGUGGCUUGCACAGAGAACACAGAAGAGCCCACUAGAAGAUGUGAAAAGUCCUCUCAAUUCAGUUUUCAUGUGCCAGAUGGUUGUUACUUGUUGUAUUUUUAUUUUUUUUUUAAUCCUACCUGUUAAGAUAGCAAAAAACGACAUACGUUAUCUGGCUCUGCAGCCAAGUGUGUGGUCCAAAUUAUUUUCACAGAAUGCCUGACAAAGUCUGCUUGCUUGUCUGCCUGCCUCAAUCAUUUUUCUCAACUAAUGAGAAAAAUCUGCCAAGCAUUGUUGGGCUAAGGCACUAAUUAUUCUCAAACAAAUGUUUCAAUUUUGCACAAGUCAGGAAGUGUCUCUGUUUUAAAUGAUUACAUGCCAAGAUGCCAGAGUAGUUAGACCAGUUUAGUUUGUCAAUAUGUCUGGAAAUCCCAGAGGACCAAAGAGAUGAAAUCAUUAAAAGCAAAUGGGUCUGCAGUCUUAGGUGCUCUUUUAGGAAAUAUUGCUGCAAUACUUCUUUUUUGUGUAUGUUCAUUUUUAAUGAGAAUUAGUAGGUCUAUUUUCCUUCUGGAAAUGUUACUUCUUGUGAUAUUUCUGGCUGCUUUGGUCCUCAGAUUCUCUUGGUUUUGGCACUGAAUUAAAGGAAAUUUUGUGACUAGUCACGCAAGACUGGCUCAUCUAAUCUCUUCUCAGAUUUUGUAGCCUGCUCAUCAUCACCCUAUUUAAGCAUUAAGGAAGUUGGUCUCUGAUAGUGACAACAUUGGAAACUAUCUCCUUGUAAAACUUUCAGUUGAAUUUGGCAGCUGGAAGAAACUUGAACAAUUUGAAGGAAGUUUACAGCUUGUUUUCCAAGCAAUGUUCCACCCUUGGGCCUGAACUGCAACCUUCCCUACUCAGAGGUAAUUGUGAGCUUCCAGAAUAGCAUUGUCCCACCUCUGAGCACCAAAUGUUUAGGUGACAUCAAUUUGUGACAAGGCUGAAGGUUCUGAUGGUUUGGUGUGUCCCUAGAGAGGGGAGUGCCUCUGCUCAGCUGUACCUUUGCUCAUGUGCUGCACUUUUGUCCUCUGCCUUUCCCACUGCUUGUCCUCAUCCCAAAAUUGCUCCAAAAGCAGAUAGAUUGCCAGGUGUAGUCUUUUGGGUUUGCUUAUGUUUAUACCAACAAAAUCAGGGUUUUUAAGAACUAUCUUCCUGCCUUUAAGUGGGGAGCUGCAUCUUUUCAGAGAAAAAUGUGUUUUAAAGAUGAUGAGAAAUUCAGAAACUUCUUAGGGAUAUUUGGAGAGGUUUACUUGAGCCAGAUCUUCCGUUUGUUUCAUAGAUGCAUGUUGGAUUAAUUUGUUUUUAAAGCAUAUAUAUAAAGAGUAAAGGAAAAAUUAAAGGAUUAAACCACCAGAAAGCAGAACUUGGAGCAUUUCAUGACUUGAUUAUUUUCCAGCAGCCACCUUUGCCAAGGAAGAAAAUGUGCCUAAAUAUUGUGGUAUUUGUAUCUCCUCAAACAGUUACUCAUAAAGAGAUAAAUGGGCAGUAAUAACAUGUAUUUCCCUAAUGGUUUAUGUGGUUUUUUUUAACGCAGCCCCUUCUUAUUUCAGGAGAAAAUAUGAAACCUGGUGCCUGGAUACUUUAUGUCAUUAAUUGCUUAUUGCCCUUAUCUGUACCCACUAGCUUAAUUACAAUCUGUCUGCUUGGUGCAUGGUGUGUGCUUUUUAAUAUGAAUUUUGAGAAAUUACUGGUAAAAAGGACAUGUACUGUAUGGAAAAACCUACUUAGUCUGAGGAGCUGGGCAGUGCUGGCAGCUCCUGGGAGGAGCUUUGGACAGCAGAGGGGUGAUCUCAAGUCAAGGCAUUGCCAAUAAAACGUUCCUGGUUCUCAGGUACAGUGCAGGGCAGCAAAAGCUGAAUGAGCUGUGAAUCCCAGAGUGUUCUCAAAGUUCAAUCCACAGACAACUCCCAGGCAGCAAAGAAGGUUUUCAAAUAAUGGUGUUACAUAUUUUGAAAGACUUUCCCUUUUCCUUUUUAUUGCUUUUUCUUGUUCAGUCUCCAGUGUUAUUUGCUAGAUAAUUAUCUCUUGAUUUUGAGGUGCUGGCUGUCCUUGGUAAGACCUAAACCUUACCUGUAAUGUCAAUUACUUUGUUUUAAUCAGGAAAUACACACUCCAUGCAAACUUUUGAUAGACCUCUCUUGCUUUUUUGACUUGUGAGUGUGUCUGCUGAGAAGCAGAGCAAGAGGGAGGGUCUGAAUUUGGUUUAGUUGCUCCAAGACCAGUAAAGACCUGGUGGAAGUGAGAAUACCAGGACACCCAGCUGUGCCUGGACUGACUCCUAGUGAUGCAACAUCUUUGUAGGGGUAUGAACUUCCCAGGUAGUUUUCCUUCCAUUUUAAGAAUGUUUUGCACAUAAAAGAACUUUGAGCAUUUUUGGUGUAGCAGGGAUCCCAUGUCAUGCAUCAGUUUCAUCACAUUCAUUCUUGAAAUACAUUUUAUGUCUGUUCACUUAAUUUUUAGGAAGUUGUAAAGACACAAAAGAAGAAACUAAAUGUUAAUGUAGUAGUUUCUUGUAAUGGAUUAAUUUUCAUAAGCUAAAGCUGAAUACUCUGAAAUCAGCUUACACUGCAAAUUAAAUGUUAGGUACCCCUUCUAUUUCCUUACAAGCAAAGAGAUUUUCUGUGACUGGCUCCACUGCCAUUGUCACUUUGGCAUAUUUAGGCUAAUUCCAAAUGUUAGUCCUUCUCUGUACCACUAAUACUUCUCUUUCCAUAAAAAUGUCCCGAUUUACUUGAUUCUCCUUUUUCUUUUGUGUGUGUAAAACUGAAAUUUGAGCACACUAAGUUUAGCUGCAUGUGCUUGUCCUAUAUAAACCUUUUUACACUGAAGUUUAGUUUUAUAAACAACCACAGUUUCUUCAAGUGAAAAGCUGUACUUUCCUUCCAAGAACACUUCCUAUUUUGUCUGUCUACAUGAGCUAGUUUGCAGAAGUGCAAUUGAAGUCUAGUGGGAGUAGCAUUCCAUUGUAGCUACACAAGUGUUGCAUUGUUAUAAAAAGAGAAAAUAUUGCCAUAUAAAUCCUA